GUGCCUACGGGGCGCAGCAGUGGGGAAUAUUGCACAAUGGGGGAAACCCUGAUGCAGCGACGCCGCGUGGGUGAAGAAGUACUUCGGUACGUAAAGCCCUGUCAGCAGGGAAGAAAACGACGGUACCUGAUUAAGAAGCCCCGGCUAACUACGUGCCAGCAGCCGCGGAAAUACGUAGGGAGCAAGCGUUGUCCGGAUUUACUGGGUGUAAAGGGUGCGUAGGCGGCUUUGCAAGUCAG
RNAcentral lists this ribosomal RNA (239 nucleotides) under uncultured bacterium. RNAcentral's name for it is "partial 16S ribosomal RNA". It matches the Rfam family "Bacterial small subunit ribosomal RNA", at positions 334 to 591 of the family's 1533-position model. The record is from RNAcentral.